Molecule: unclassified non-coding RNA, 322 nt
Filed under: air metagenome
Description: partial contains small subunit ribosomal RNA, internal transcribed spacer 1, and 5.8S ribosomal RNA
Rfam family: Eukaryotic small subunit ribosomal RNA (bases 1-46)
Source: RNAcentral
AAGUCGUAACAAGGUUUCCGUAGGUGAACCUGCGGAAGGAUCAUUAUUGAAUAAUCUUGAUGUAGUUGUAGCUGACCUCUUUACCGGGGGUAUGUGCACGCUCGUCAUCUUUAUAUCUCCACCUGUGCACCUCUUGUAGACCUGGAUAUAUGAAUACUUUCGAGGCAACUCGGUCGGGAGGACUGCUGUGCGUAAAUGCCGGCUUUCCUUGCAUUAUUCAGGCCUAUGUUUUUAUAUACUCCAAAGAAUGUAACAGAAUGUAUCAUUGGGCCUUGUGCCUAUAAACUAUAUACAACUUUCAGCAACGGAUCUCUUGGCUCUC